Molecule: unclassified non-coding RNA, 1201 nt
Filed under: Hevea brasiliensis (rubber tree)
Lineage: Eukaryota; Viridiplantae; Streptophyta; Magnoliopsida; Malpighiales; Euphorbiaceae
Source: RNAcentral
CUACGAUAAGAAUUGAGAAAGACAAGUUAUAGCAUUACGGCCACUGUUCUGACCCACUUGACCAAAAGAAUCAGACUAUAAUUUUCUAGUCGUCCUAACUAGUCAAGAAACAAUUUUCCGAGUACAAACUGAAAAUCCCUUUCCUUCAUCAAGUUCACUGGCGUGUAUAAUGGACAAACAACCAUAGUGCACCAACGCAGCUUACUUUUGGAGUUUUAAGAUGGCGCCUCUCUCUGUUUUACUAUUCCUUCUUUUCUCUCAUCUUCCGUUUCUUUACUCUGCUGAAACAUCGAAAUACCCCUCUCCUUGUCCAAACUUCAAAUGUGGAAAAUUGGGCGAUAUUAGGUUUCCUUUCACUCCAGCAACGAACCCGGCCUGUGGGCUGUUGAAAGUAAAUUGUAGCGACCACAAGAUCCAACUGCAGAGGCGAGGAAGAUGGUAUAAAGUUGAGAACAUCUCUGAGGCUGACACCAUUUCUAUCAGUGAUUCAGAACUUCAGAAUCAUUUGGAUAAAGAACGAUGUGAUUUCUUUGAGGAAUUCUCUACUCCCCGCUCUAGAAUGGUCUCUUUCCAAUUUGUACCUAAUAUUACCUUGUUCAAAUGCAACCGCAGCUUCAACAGCACUCACGGCUCUGGUUUUAGUUAUGACACAACUUGUAACAAUAGCCUUUAUUUUAAUCCCACAAAUGGUAGUAAUCCAAGUUUUCUUCCUCAUCGCUGUUCAACCAUUCUCUUCCCAGGACUUUGGGUUCGAAAUCACAAUCACUACGACAUAAAAUUGAAGUUUCAAGCUCGAGUAUAUGUAUCUCUUGAAUGUAGCAGUUGUCAUUUUGAAAGAGGAGGUCAAUGUGAAAUUAAGAGCAAUGGAGAUUUUUUCUGUGCUAAUGCAAGAAGACCUGCCAAAGGUGUUCAGGAUGACGCAGGGGGACAAAAAUGGGGAUGGCGACAAACACUAGCUUUAGUUCUUGGACUUGCUGCAAUAAUGGUUAUUUCACCGACCAUAAUUUUAAUCUGGUGUCGAUAUGAGAGAAAAUAUUCCUCCUCAAACUUCAUCCCAUCAAAUAAUUCUUAUGAUCCCUCCACAAAGUCAGAAAUCGAAGGGGGCAGUGUCUACUCUGGUGUCCCCAUCUUCCCCUAUACCGAAGUUGAAGAAGCCACAAGUAACUUCGAUUCUCAAAAGGAACUUGGAGAUGGAGGUUUU